UAGAGAAAACUACUGGGAUUGACCCAUGUCUUUUCUGGAUCACAUCUGACACAUGACCAGAUAGGUCAAUGUUACCAGCUGUGGACUUUAUCUUCAAAUAGAAACCCCCUCCCCCAACAUGCAUGAAGUGAAAUGGUAAAAUGAAGUGGUGCUUAAUAACUGGGAAAAUGCUUUACCUGGAUCUUAAAGAUUUGAUAAGAAUUUUUGGAAAACAAGGCCAAUAUUAUCAAACUGCUCUUUAGAAGUUCUGUUUGUAUUACAUGUAUUUCCCAAAGUAAAAAAUUACUACUGCUCCAGUCACAUGAUCAUUAGUUCAUUUUGAGUGUUCUGAGAUUUAGAUUUAGUAGAGUUUGUACCUAAAAUAAUUUGAAAAUCAGAAGAACCAGCAUGGAUAAAGUGAACAGAACCUUUUCCCUAAGGUGUGCAUCUGAGUAGAUGCCAAUAUGUUUGUUUCAUGCGAGUGAUGUUGUGGUCCCCAAAGGCUUUAUUUCACACCCUACUCUCACUGAUAGGAAGCAGGAAAAUGGGGAAGCUUUUAAUACAAACAUGUAAGCAAGGAGAUGUGAUCCUAUCAUUUACUUAUUCAUUAUAAGGACCCUUAAAGAGACAGAAUGUUUGGGAAAGAAAAAAUAAAUGUCAUCUUUAAUAGGACACCUCAAACUCAGCUUCUUUUCCUUAUUUUGUAGGUACUAUUAAAAUAAUCUGAAAUAGUCUAACUCUAUAAUCCUCAAACAGCUAUUUUCCAUCAUUUUCCCCCUGGUCAUUUACAAAUAUUUCUUCUUUACACCCACUUGGAAAUCAAUUAGCAGACUACUUAUACGUUUACUUCAGAGUUAAGUCGCUUGUAAAAACAUGUUUCUAUGGGGAUCUUGCUUUCAUGCGUUCUUUAUGCAGCUCUGGCAAUCCCCUUUCCAACUAAUUCUGUGACAUUUCACUGUUAACAGAGAUGAAGUGAUAGAAUAUUCACAAACCAAAGUUUAAACAAUUAAGGGAAUGCUGAUUUCCAUAAGUAAUCAUUGAAAACCUGGAUGUUUACACCAAGUGUCAGAAUUUUGUCUGAGCAAAGUAGAAAUGACUUACCUUUGACCUUUUUGAUCUUCAUUUCCUUAUUUGCCUUUAAAAGAGAAGGAGAACUCUAGUGGCUUGCUAGAACCGCCAUAACAAAGUACCACAGACUGGGUAGGUUACACAACACAAAUUUAUUUUCUCACCAUUCUGGAGGCUACAGGAGGUCAAGGUAUUGGCAGUGCUAGUUUCUUCUAAUGUCUCCUAUUGGCUUGUGUGUGGCCAUCUUCUCUCUGUGUCUUCACAUUGUCUUCCCUCUGUGUGUAUCCAUGUCCUAAUCUUUUCUUCUUAUAAGAAUUAGGGCACAGUCAUAUUGGUUAGGGCCAACUCUCAUUUUAGCUUAAUUAACCUCCUUAAAGACUGUUUGUCUAAAUAUUGCCACAUUCUAAGGUGCUACAAGUUAGUACAUCAACAUAUGAAUUUUGGAGGGGGGAUAUAAUUCAGCCUAUAACAGAAACCAUGCCUAUUAUUUUCAUUUUUCAAUAACAGUACUUUAAAAAAUGACAUUGUUUCUCCUUCUUGCACUUUAAAAGUAAUGGAAUGUGUGUAAGACUGCAGGACAUCUACAUAGGUAAGCAUAAAUCUUGUUGGCAUUUUAAUUUUCUCACUGGAAAUCUUGUUUCCAUGUGCAAGUACUGAAGGUUCUGGGAGAUUUUUUUCAUUAUUGCUCUCCUUAUGAAAGCAGCUGUUCAAUGAACACAGCAUAUUUUGUUACCUCAUCAAGAAGCAGAGGAAGAUUAUGUUGUGAUCAGGUUUUGUAUGGCUAUAGUCAAUGCUUUUCUGAUUGUCUGAGCUCCAGUGAUUGAUUUAAUAGGUCUACUCCAGGGCAGUUACUCAUCCCUGAUAUUUGUCCAACUCAAAGCUCCAUGUUAUUUAUGUAAACGAUGCUUUAUAUGCUUUCCAUGAAGAUAAAUCCAAGUUGACAGAACUGUUUAAGAGAUGAGUGUGCCAACCAAUUGGGAUUAUGAUCACAGAAUUUAUCUCCUUCAACUUUCGUGUUACUUCACUGGCAAAUUGGGAGCUUUGGAGGAUAAGAGGAUAAGAUAUGACUGGAAGAAUCUAUUUUCUACUCUGAAGGUAGUAUUUUGACAUUUCAGAGGACUGUGCAUCUAGGAAGACUUCUGAACACAAACAAAGAAAAACAGGCUUGGGAACAGAUGAUUUGUCUUUGGAAAAUGAAAACACCUCUAAACCAUGGGGAAAAUCUUAAACCAGAGUCAUUUAGACAUACCCAACAUUUGGAAAAUGUUCUUAUGUUUAGUGAGUUAUGCAGUUUUAGCUUUGGCCAGGGAUUUUUUUUCUUUCACAUGGCAGAAUAUGAGCCUUAUGUGUUCUUUAUAAGUUGUUAGGAGAUAGAAGUAGUUGUUAGAAGAUCAAAAGGUUACAUGUGAUUUUCUGCUUUGAAUGUGAUGGACUGAGGUCUAUGAAUUGUCCCCUUCUUUUAUAAGAAAUCAUCCAAAAGCCAAAAAAGAAUGAGGAAAAAUUAACGCAAAUUUGAUUUUCAAGAGAACUCAGAGUUACAAGAAAUCUCAAUACAAUAACAACAAAAUAGGAAAAAAAAAAUAAUUGCCAAAAGCAGUGCAAAGCCCACGGGGGCAGAUGAACAUGUGAAGAGAGGAAGUGGAUAGUGACAGAGCUCAACAAAAACUCAACACGAAUCUCUCAAAUAAGUAUGUUCCACAGAAACAUGAAAUAAUAGAUAUUUAAUUUGCAACAACGGGAAUAGGGAAUAUCUCUGGAUGCUUGGAAGUCGGGAUUGAUUGAAGAAUCACAUGAACAAUCCAUGAUUGCAGAAAGUAACUCUGGUUGGAGCAAAGAGAAGGGGGACACUGUAUAUUGCUAACAGUGCUGCAGUUUGUUAGCAUGGAAGAUGUAAAAGUUAAAAUAUCUCACACAAGCAACUCUGUCAUAAGCAGAAUUGCUGGGAGUCUGCAACACAGCUUUAUCCACUUUUCCACCAAAACCUUCCUUAAAGGGCUAAUGGGAAGGGUGCUCAUUUGAAAGGUGAAUGAUAAUGAUAACAGGAAGCAUCAUAGGCUCUAAACAAAGCUCUUACAAAGGGAAAAAACUAAGUAAAGAAACAAGAAAAACAACAGGUGAAGAACAUUCAUCAAGAAAAAUAUACCAUAAGGGGUAAAAUUAUAACCACAUCUGUCAUCAAGAAUUAGUACAGACACACACACACACACACACACACACACACACACACACACACCAAAAAACAAAAACCUAAGAACCUUAAUUAGACAAUAGUAACUGAAAAAGAAAAGGACACAGUAGAGAUGCAAGAGCUCAGGAAGAAUGCCCUUCCAGGUGUAUCCCCUCUCCACCCUCCUCUGUGCCGUAGGAAGCUGACCUCGGAACUUCUUCAGAAGUUCCGUUUUCUACUUGUAGCUGGGCUUGGCCAACUGAGACUGCUAGCAGGAUAAUGGAAGGAAAGGAGAAAUCAGGUAAAGGUAUUGUUCCCUUAGCUCUCCCCAUGGGGUCAUGCUGGCUGCGUCCCUUGACUUGAAGUAAAGAGUUCCUGUAAGAUGGCAUUCACUUUGGGUCCCAGUUACCACUCCCUCUCCUUGCCCCUUCAGACCUAUAGUCCAUUACAAUGGCCCAAGUGGGUACUGCACUAACUCUUGUGAGUUCCCUACAUUCUGCCUUCACCUUUGUAAAAAUCUCUUUGUUACUUUUUUUCAAUUUUUCCGUGCCAUCUCUUUUCUACAAAAAUCAUAACUGAUAUGAAACUGGCAAAGCUAAGCAAUACAGUAGAAGGGAAAAAAAUUAAAUACUAUAGAAAUGAGCCAGAUUGGAAGCAGCACAAAGGAAAAUAGCUUCUUCUGAACAGAGGCACAGUUAAGGGUAGAGAUUAGAAAAGAUGUAAAAUGAAAUUAAAAUAGUUUGAAAAGGCAAGAGAAAAAAUAGUAGAUAUAGAAGAUAAGUAAAUCAGUGUCAUGGACAAAGAGAAGCAAAAUAAUAUAACCAAAAAAAUAUUUAAAGAUAUAAUUCAAUAUAACCUACCAAAAAUAAAAGACUUGAAUCUACAGAUGGGAUGCGUUUGGCAUAUCUAAGGGAAAAAAAAUAACACAGAAUGAUCAACACAAAAACUCAUCCUGGUAAAAUUUCAUAGUUUCAAUAUAUAUUUAAAUAUAUUCUGCAUCCAGAAAGAAAGAUUAAGACACUUAAGGAGGGGAAAAAAUGCAGGAUAGCCUGUCUUUUCUCUGUCAAUACGCAAAACUAACUGCAGAUCAAUGCCAAUUAAAUCCUUGAAAAAAGAAUGAUUCAAGAAUCUUUAUACCUAGACAAACUGCAAUACAAAAUAAAGGCGACCCUUUUGAAUAUAUAGGAACUCAGAAUGUAGCUUUUCAAGUUUUGUUUUUUUUAAUUUCAGCCUUCCUUUAAUGAAUGGAGAAACAGUCAAAAGGAUGGACUGUGAGAAUUGAAUCCACUGUCCCUGGAACUAAGAUCACAAGUAUGAGAAUUAUCGUAAAAAUUAGAAUGUAAAUGUUAAACACCUGGACAAAUAGAAAUUAUAUAUCCAACAAAAGUUGAGAUGAGAGACAAAGCAGUAAGAGGUGGAAUAAAUAUGCUGACCUCUUUUUUUCAUAAAUGGAUAGAGAUAUUAUUUAAAACAGAUAAGUAAAGUAACAGCGAUAUAAGGAUACCUAGAGAUAUAAAGGUGGAUUGAUUUUGGUACCUUUGGGAAACAGAUGGCACACCCACAAAGGGUGACUGAAGAGAGUUUAAUGAUGGUCUGUUUAUAAAGGCCUGAGAAGAACAAAAGAGAUCAAUAAGGAAUGAUGUAGCAAACAUCAGGAACACACUAAUUACCAUCCCUCAGUCUGAAGGGGAAAGCGAAGAGAACUGUUACCAGAUUAGGAAGAAAGAAGCACUCAUGGGAGAGUGUCUGCUAGACAAGAGUUGUGGCCAUAGAUAGAGGAAAUCAAUCAAACUUAAAAAUCAUGGCUGAGGAAGGGGUGCUGAGGAGUAGGUAUCUGGUUCUAUUUUUCUCUUUCUACUUGGUUCCACUGACCCAUCCUAACUAGAAACUAGAAAGGACAAGGGAAUCUAGUUAAGGGAAUUCAUAGAGGUCAGCCUUCCAUAAAAUAGAGCAGGGUAGCUUAGCCACACUAAGGCAAACACUUCGUCUAUGUUCUCCUUUCCCUCUGCUGACCCUUAGCUGGAUCAGUGCUUUUACUUGGUAAGAUCACCACCCCCCCCAAUUUUUUUUUUACACUUAUAUAUUUUUGAGAGACAGAGACAGAGAACAAGUGGGGGAGGGGCAGAGAGAAUGAGACACAGAAUCCGAAGUAGGCUCCAAGCUCUGAGCUGUCAGCAAAGAGCCCAACGCGGGGCUUGAACCCACAAACCGUGAGAUCAUGACCUGAGCUGAAGUGGACACCCAACCAACUGAGCCACCCAGGCGGCCCAAGGGCCAGUACUUUUAUCAAGAGAGUACUAAGACGUGAUUCAGUGAAACUCCUGUAUUCUAGAUAUAGUCUUCUUUGCCCAAGUGUAUGGCAAAAACACAGUUUUCCUUCUGGAAAAUGGCAUCAAUUAUCGUGGUUAAAAUGGUUUUCUGGUUCAGAGGCAUGAGGAACCAAAAAUGGCCAGGGAUGGUCACAGGUUCAAUUUAAUAGACCUGAUACAAGUAUCCCUCUCUAGAAUACUAGGACCACUAAACCCAUUGAGGCAAUACUAUAAGGUUGGGAAGCAAAAAUUAAGUAGGUUAUUAGGUAUAGUAUGAGAAGGACCACUACCACUUCCACUCUGUAGCUCUCAAACCAAUAUAUUCUGACUACUGGAGACAUAACACUAUACAUUGGCACCUGGUUUAAUACAAGCUAUUUCUUAUAGAAAGUUUCCCAAACUCUCAACAUUGAAUGCCACUGAACUUUCAGUUCAGUUGUUUUAUACCAGACAUUUCUAGAAGAUGGGACGUAAGGUAAGAGCAAUUAUUCCAUGGGCAUGAGACCAUUGCUAUAUCUCUUUUGCUAUAAAAUGUGUUUCUUGUUCAGGGUUCCUUGCUUGUGUAGCAUUACAUGGCAAUGAAAAAGGUGUCCUUUAAGUUCACAAAUAAUGGUAUUGGCAGAAGUGCUGUAGAGUGAGAGGGAAAUCCUUAUGAGAAUAAGUUUAUUUUUCUAUAAAGGCAAAUUGCUAUAACACCAUGACAGAAAGGAUCCAAUAUGAUGAACUUGCAACCAUGUUGGGCACUCAGCAAUGGUGGUAGUUAGAUCAGCCUUGGUGAGGGAAAAUUAAUGUUGAGCCCAUACAUAGCUUCCAUCUUUGACAAUAUGGACACAAUGCACAUGAACCCAUUGAGUAAGUUUUAUGGUUACUAGAGAAAUAGGCUUUAUGACACAUGAUUAAAUAUAUUUCCAGUAAGUAAUAUAUGACGAACAUAUUUUAUGUGUGUGAAUUAAAUAUGAUAAUCCAAUUAUAUUUAUUGUGCUACUUUACAUAUUUGUGUUUUUUUAUUUCAUUUAUUUAAAUUUAAGUUAGUUAACAUACAGUGCAGAAUUGUUUCAGGAGUAGAAUCCAGGGAUUCAUCACUUACAUAAACACCCAAUGCUCAUCCCAACAACUUCCCACUUUAAUGCCCAUCACCCAUUUUCCUCAUCCCCUCACACAUAUCCCUUCCAGCAACCCUCAGGUUGUUCUCUGUAUUUAAGAGUCUUUUAUGAUUUUCCUCCCUCUCUGUUUUUAUCUUAUUUUUCCUUCCCUACCCCUAUGUUCAUCUGUUGUAUUUCUUAAAUUUCACAUAUGAGUGAAAUCAUAUGAUAUUUGUAUUUCUCUGACUUACUUCACUUAGCAUAAUAUACUCUAAAUCCAUCAACAUUGCAAAUGGUAAGAUUUCAUUCUUCUUCGUUGCCGAGUAAUAUUCCAUUGUAUGUGUAUGUGCCUCUCUAUAUAUACGUACCACAUAUUUCUUAUCCAUUCUUCAGUCGAUGGACAUUUGGGCUUUUUCCAUAAUUUGGCUAUUGUUGAUAGUGCUGCUAUAAACAUUGGGGUGCAUGUGCCCAUUCAAAUUAGCAUUUUUGCAUCCUUUGGAUAAAUACCUACUAGUGAAAUUGCUGGGUUAUAGGGAAGUCCUAUAUUUAAUUUUUUGAGGAAACUUCAUACUGUUUUCCAGAGUGGCUGGACCAGUUUGCAUUCUCACCAGCAGUGCAAGAGGGUUCCCUUUUCUCCACAUCCUCACCAACAUCUGUUGUUUCCUGAGUUGUUCAUUUUAGCCAUUCUGACAGGUGUGAGAUGGUAUCUCACUAUAGUUUUGCUUUGUAUUUUCUGAUGUGAGUGAUGUUGAACAUCUUUUCAUGUGUCUGUUAGCUAUCUGGAUAUCUUCUUUGGCAAAGUGUCUAUCAUGUUCUCUUCCAUUUCUUCACUAGAUUAUUUGUUUUUUGGAUGUUGGGUUUGAUUAGUUCUUUAUAGAUUUUGGAUACUAAACCUUUAUCCAGUAUGUCAUUUGAAAAAUAUCUUCUCGGGGCGCCUGGGUGGCGCAGUCGGUUAAGCGUCCGACUUCAGCCAGGUCACGAUCUCGCGGUCCGUGAGUUCGAGCCCCGCGUCGGGCUCUGGGCUGAUGGCUCAGAGCCUGGAGCCUGGUUUCCGAUUCUGUGUCUCCCUCUCUCUCUGCCCCUCCCCCGUUCAUGCUCUGUCUCUCUCUGUCCCAAAAAUAAAUAAACGUUGAAAAAAAAAAAUUUAAAAAAAAAAGAAAAAUAUCUUCUCCCAUUCCAUCAGUUGCCCUUUAGUUUUGUUGACUGUUUCCUUUGCUGGGCAGAAGAGUUUUAUCUUGAUGAGGUCCCAGUAGUUCAUGUUUGCUUUUAUUUCCCUUGCCUCUGGAGACAUGUCUAGUAAGAAGUUACUGCAGCCAAGGUCAAAGAGGUUGUUGCCUGUUUUCUCCUCUAAAAUUUUGAUGGUUUCCUGUCUCACAUUUAGGUUUUUCAUCCAUUUUGAGUUUAUUUUUAUGUAUGGUAUAAGAAAGUGGUACAGUUUCAUUCUUCUGCAUGCUGCUGUCCAGUUCUCCUAGCGCCAUUUGCUAAAGAGACUGUCUUUUUUCCAUUGGAUAUUCUUUCCUGCUUUGUGAAAGAUUAGUUGGUCAUACAUUUGUGGGUCCAAUUCUGAGUUUGCAUUCUGUUCCAUUGGUCUAUGUGUCUGUUUUUGUGCCAAUACCAUACUGUCUUGAUGAUUAUGGCUUUGUAGUACAGGCUAAAGUCUGGCAUUGUGAUGCCUCCAGGUUUGGUUUUCUUUUUCAACAUUACUUUGGCUAUUCAGGGUCUUUUGUGGUUCCAUACAAAUUUUAGUAUUGUUUGUUCUAGCUCUGAGAAGAAUACUGGUGCUAUUUUGAUUGGGAUUGCAUUGAAUAUGUAGAUUGCUUUGGGUAGUAUUGACAUUUUAACAAUAUUUGUUCUUCCAAUCCAUAAGCAUGGAAUAUUUUCCCAUUUCUUUGUGUCUUCUUCAAUUUCUUUCAUAAGUUUUCUACAGUUUUAAGUGUACAGAUCUUGUACCUCUUUUGUUAGGUUUAUUCCUAGGUAUUUUAUGGUUCUUGGUGUAAUUGUAAAUGGGGUCCAUUCCUUGAUCUCACUUUCAGUUGCUUCAUUAUUGGUGUAUAGAAAUGCAACUGAUUUCUGUACAUUGAUUUUGUACCUUGCGAUUUUGCUGAAUUCAUAUAUCAGUUCUAGCAGUGUUUUGGUGGAGUCUUUCAGGUUUUCCAUGUAGAGUAUCAUGUCGUCUGCAACAAGUGAAAGUUUGACUUCUUCUUUGCCAAUUUAAAUGCCUUUUAUUUCAUUUUGUUGUCUGAUUGCUGAGACUAAGACUUCCAACACUAUGUUAAACAACAGUGGUGAGAGUGGACUUCCCUGUCAUGUUCCUGAUCUCAGGGGGAAAGCUCUGUUUCUCCCCAUUGAGGAUGAUAUUAGCUGUGGGCUUUUCAUUUACGCCUUUUAUGAUGUUAAGGUAUGCUUCUUCUAUCCCGACUUUCUGGAGGGUUUUUAUUAAGAAAGGAUGCUGUAUUUUGUCAAAUGCUUUUUCUGCAUCUAUUGACAGGAUCAUAUGGUUCUUAUCCUUUCUUCUAGUAAUGUGAUGUAUCACAUUGAUUGAUUUGUGAAUAUUGAACCAGCCUGGCAGCCCAGGAGUGAAUCCCACUUGAUCAUGGUGAGUAAUUCUUUUAACACACUGUUGAAUUCGAUUUGCUAGUAUCUUGUUGAGAAGUUUUGCAUCCAUGUUCAUCAGGGAUAUUGGCCUUUGAUUCUCCUUUUUUGUGGGACCUCUAUCUGGUUUGGGAAUCAAGGUAAUGCUGGCUUCAUAGAAUGAGUUUGAAAGUUUUCAUUCCAUUACUAGUUUUUGGAAUAGUUUGAGAAUAAUCAGUAUUAAGUCUGCUUUAAAUGUCUGGGAGAAUUCCCCUGGAAAGCCAUCUGACCCAGGACUCGUAUUGUUAGAAAAUUUUUGAUAACUGAUUCAAUUUCUUUGCUGGUUAUGGGCCUUUUCAAAUUUUCUAUUUAUUCCUAUUUGAGUUUUAGUAUUAUGUGAAUGUCUAGGAAUUUGUCCAUUUUUUCCAGAAUUUCCAGUUUGUUUGCAUAUAAUUUUUCAUAGUAUUCUCUUACAAUUGUUUGUAUUUCUGUGGUGUUGGUUGUGAUCUCUCCUCCUUCAUUCAUGAUUGUUAUCUAUUAGAGUCCUUUCUCUUUUCUUUUUGAGAAAUCUGGCUAGGGGGUUAUCAAUUUAUUCUUUCAAAAAACCAGUUGAUCUGUUCUACUGUUUUGUUGGUGGUGGUGGUGGCGGCCAUGGUAGUGGUGGUGGUGAUGUUUGCUUUCUAUAUCAUUUCAUUCUUCUCUAAUAUUUAUUAUUUCCCUUCUUCUGGAUUUGGACUUAGUUUGCUGCUCCUUUUCUAGCUCCUUUGGGUGUAAGGUUAGGUUGUGUAUUUGGGACCUUUCUUGCUUCUUGAGAUAUACCUGAAUUGCAAUGUACUUUUUCCUCUUAGAAAUGCUUUUGUUGCUUUCCAAAUGGUUUGGACUGUUGUGUUUUCAUUUUCAUUUGCUUCCAUGUACUUUUUAAUUUCCUCUUUAAUUUACUGAUUAACCCAUUCAUUCUUUAGGAUAUUCUUUAACCUCUGUGUAUUUGAGGGCUUUCCAAAUUUAUUUUUUGAGGUAGAUUGCAAGUUUCAUAGCUUUGUGAUCUGAAAACAUGCAUGGUAUGAUCUUGAGCUUUUUGUGCCUGUUGAAUGUUGAUUUGUGACCCAGUAUGUGAUCUAUUCUGGAGAAUUUUCUAUGUGCACUCAAGAAGAAUGUAUAUUCUGCAACUUUAGGAUGAAAUGUUCUGAAUAUAUCUGUUAAGUCCAUCCAGCCCCGUGUGUUCAUUCAAAACCAUUGUUUCCUUAUUGAUUUUCUGCUUAGAUCAUGGGUCCAUUGCUGUAAGUGGGUGUUAAAGUCCCCUAAUAUUAUGGUAUUAUUAUCAAUGAGUUUCUUUAUAUUUGUGAUUAACUGAUUUAUAUUUGGGUUCUUUAAAGUUGGGGGCAUAAAUAUUUAUAAUUAUUUGAUCUGCUUAGAUCCCUUAGUUAUGUUAUAAUGCCCUUCUACAUCUCUUGUUACACUCUUUGUUUUAAAAUCUCAUUUGUCUGAUAUAAGUAUGGCUACUCCAGCCUUCUUUUGACCUCCAUUAGCAUGAUAGAUGAUUUAUUCAUCCCCUCACUUUCAAUCUGCAGGUGUCCUUAUGUCUAAAAUGAGUCUCCCCUAGGCAGCAUAUAGAUGGGUCUUGUUUUUUUAUCCAUUCUAAUAUCGUAUGUCUUUUGAUCGGAGCAUUUAGUCCAUUUAAAUUGAAUGAUUAUUGACAGAUAUGAAUUUAGUGCCAUUGUGUUAUCUGUAGAUUUGGUGUUUCUGGUGAUGUUCUCUCGUCCUUUGUAGUCUUUGCUGCUUUGGUAUACUUUUUUUUUUCUUUUUUCUUUUCUUUUCUUUUUUUUUCUCCAGAGCGUCCCCCUUAAAAUUUCUUGCAGCGUUGGUUUACUGGUCAAAAACUCCUAUAGGUUUUGUUUGUUUGGGAAAGUCUUUAUCUUUCCUUCUAUUUUGAAUGAAAGCCUUGCUUGGUAAAGAAUUCUUGGCUGCAUAUUUUUCCUAUUCAGCACAUUGAAUAUUUCCUGCCACUCCUUUCUGGCCUGCCAAGUUUCAGUGGACAGGUCUGCUGCUAACCUUAUGUGACUACCCUUGUAUGUUAAGGACCUUUUUUUUCCCAGCUGCUUUCAGAAUUUUCACUUUAUCCUUGUAUUUUGCAAGUUUCACUAUGAGAUAUCAUGGUGUUGACCUGUUUUUGUUGAUUUUAGAAAGGAGUUCUCUUUGCCUCUUGGAUUUAGAUGUUUGUUUCCUUCUCCAGAUUAGGGAAAUUCUCAGCUACAGUUUUUUCAAAUAAACCUUCUUCCCCUUUUUCUCACUAUUCUUCUUCUGGGACUCCUAUGAUAUGGAUAUUGUUUUGUGUCAUGGAAUCACUUCAUUCUCAAAGUCUCCCCUCAUGACCUAGUAAUUUCCUUUCCCUCUUUUGGUCAGCUUCAUUAUUUACCAUAAUUUUAUCUUCUAUUUUACCUAUUCUCUCCUCUGCUUCUUCAAUCCUUGCUGUCACUGUAUCUAGUUUAUUUUGCAUCUCAGCUAUAGCAUUUUAAAAUUCAUCCUGACUAGUUCUUAGGUCCUUGGUCUCUAUAGCAAGGGUUUCUCUGGUGUCUUCUAUGCUUUUUUUCAAGCCAAGCUAGUAGUCUUAUGACUGUUGUUCUAAAUUCUUGUUCAGAUAUAUUCCUUAUAUCUGUUUUGAGUAAGUCGCUGGCUGUGGCUGUGAUUUCAUCUUGAAUUUUCUUUUGGGGAGAAUUCCUCCAUCUCAUCUUGGCUAAGUUUCUGUCUUUUGCAUGUUUUAAAAGCUUGUUAUGUGUGUCCUGCACCUGAAAAUACUGUUAUACCAAAUCGGGGUCAUACACUGUCCAGGGCCUGGCACUCCAGGAAGUGUUUUUGGUUAUGCUGUAUGCACUCUGCUGUUGCAUCUUAGCUGCUCUUUCCUACUGGUCAGUCUUCUGCAGAGUUCCUCCUUGCUUGCAGUGGAGAGUGUUUUGGCCUUUAACCAGGUAUGCUUUGAUUUGUUUGUUGAAGUAACCCUAGGGAAAAAAAAAGAGAAAAGGAAAGAGAACAACAAAGAAAAAAACAGGCAAACAGGGAAUCAGAAAACUAUAAGGCUGAUUCCAUAGAAAAAGUAAGGGGAAAAAGCAGAAGAAAAAAGAAGGAAAAAAAAAAAAAGCAAAAAAGCCAAAUCCAGAAGAGAGAGCGAGAAGAAAAUGAAAAGAAAACAAAACAAAAAACACAGUAAAGAACUAUGAACCUGAUUUCAAAAAAGAAAAAGAAGGGGCACCUGGGUGGCUCAGUCGGUUAAGCAUCCGACUUCGGCUCAGGUCAUGAUCUCACAGUUCGUGAGUUCAAGCCCGUCGGGCUGUGUGCUGACAGCUCAGAGCCUGGAGCCUGCUUCACAUUCUGUGUCUCCCUCUCUCUCUGCCCCUUCCCUGCUCAUGCUGUGUCUCUCUCUGUCUCAAAAAUAAAUAAACAUUAAAAAAAUUUAAAAAAAAAAAAAAAAAAAAAAAAAAAAAAAAAAAAAAAAAAAAGAGCUGUUGUUGGUACCUGUGGGAUGGUGUCUGUGCUGGUCUGAAGGAGAGGUGGACUGCAUUGACUCAGCAUCAGUCUUGCCCUAGUAAAUAAGCAAUUGACAGGCAUGGAGGGGUAGGGUUUGGUGUAAGCAAGUAUGCCUUACUGGGGCCUGCUAUGUUGCUUUCUAAAGUCCCAUCCUGUUGGUGUUGGAGGGAAAAAUGGUGCCACCCCCAUUUCUUGUCCUGGGACUGGGGAUCUCAAUCCCCACUGUUCAGGUAGCCCUCAUAGAAUAGCAAGGGAAGUUAGCUCACCCUGUAUCAAAAUUCUCUUACAUUUCUUCUUUGAUGCAUGGCUGGGAUUCAAAACCCAUAGUCUUAAAGACCCAGUACGGUGCAGUUCCACUCCCUCUGGAGUAGAGUCUCUCACCCUGCUGAUGAAAGGUCUUUGGUUGGCACCUGCAGGGUCUUUUGUCCUUGGGGAGGCAAUAAACCCUCUUCCAAAAGUAUUCCAGGAAGGGACUGUUCUCUCCCAGUGCACCUUGAAGAUCACCAUACCAUGCUUUGCACUCCAGGGCCAGCUGCUUCCUCCCCAGGAGCAUGCACAAUAGCUCUGCUGUAGUUACUGGAGAAAGUCACGCACUUCCAGAAUCUCAGAGUUUGAGCUCCAAAAGCUGUUUGCAAAAAAAGAACUUGGAAACUCAGUACUUCUUGGUCCCCCUCUUGUGCUAACUUGAUGCUGCACUAUCUCAACCCCUCUCUCUUUUUCUCCCUUUUGUCUCUCCAUGGAAAGGGUUUCCUACCCCCGCAUGGUGCCACAAUUUUUCUCUCCCCCAAUUCACCUCCAUGCACCUUGCAUCUGCCAAUCUGCCUCCCUCCAACUGUGGAGAUCCUUCUACCACUCCACAGAUGAAUUUCCUGGGUUUUCCAAGUAAUCUGACCUCAAUGCAGCUGUGUUUGAGGGACAAGGAAAGCCCAGGGUCCCCCCUAAUCAACUCUCUACAAUCCUACUACUCAACUCCCUAUAAAUCUGUUAUCUGAAAAAUUAGGUUGGCAGCACUUUUUUCAGGCUUUUAAGAGAUACUAACUCCAGUUUCCUAAUUUCCCUGGAAACUUUUCAUUCCCUAUCAUCCCACAGGAUGCUUGUCUGUUGACUACCUGCUUCCAGACCUGUGGCUCAUGGAACUCAUGUCUUUUGAGUUUAUACUUUAUUUUGGUUCACAAAGAUGUUCAUCUUACUCUUGAGCCUGUCUGUUUGGGUCAUUGUUAUAUAUAAAGAGUAUGCCAAUGAAUGAACUCACUUUUAAUUCUAAAUUGCUCUACCCACUAUCUACGUAAUUUAGUGGCUAAUGAGUAAAGAGAAAUAUCUGAAUAUUUAAACAUUUGUACUUAUUUAACUUAAGAGCUACUUUACUCUGUUUAUAUUGACUGGGUAUCAUAUCCUUAGUCCCUUGUGUUUAAUUACUAAAAAAAGUAUUAACAAUAAUAUUCUGUUCACUUAUUUUGACAAAUUUUACACUGUAUCAUAUGUAAGACUUCUUGUUACUUGAUAUAUGGAGAGCGACAAAUUAAAGUAAUGAACUUAAACAGAGGUAUAAGUAAUAUUCUGGAUUUUUAAAAACCCAGACCAAGGACAGCAGAGACAUGGCUAAACAGGAGCAUACAUGGCAAAGAUUUAGCAUUUUAGUUGAAUGAAAGUUCUGUAUAAAUUAUUAAUAUAAGUCUGCCAAAAAAUCUCACUCAAGUUAGGCGCAAUAAUAGAAAUAAAGUGAUGAGAUAAAGGUCGUUGGAUACUCCCUUUCUGCUCUCUACAGGUCAUGCUAAACAUAGACUAUUACUUUCAGUCCCAAAUGCCAUACUUUAAAAGGAACAAAUCUGGAGCUUAUCUGGAGAAGAGAAAUCAAAAUGUUAAAAGUUGUGAAAACUAUUAUAAAUAAGGAACACUUUAAGCAACUGACCUUUGAAGGACUUCAUAAGUAUCUUCAAACACUUCAAGGAUAAUAAUAGGAAAAGAAGACUAAUCAUAUUCCACGUAGUUAAGAAUAGAUAGCUAGAAUAGAUAUCUAUUAGAUAUAGAUAUAGAUAGAAUAGAUAGCUAUAUAUUUUCUAGUUCUAUAAAUGUAGAAAAUUUUGGGAAUUUCCAAAAUAUUAGAAUUUUGAAAAUAAAUUCAGCUAUCUUUAUUGCAAUGAGAUUCCAAACAUUGGAAUUAUUCAGGUAAUGGUAAUGAAUAUUAUAUUAAAGAUUAAUACCUUUGAAUGAAGAUUGUAUCAAUAUCUUUUCUUUUGAGGUUCCACCAUUUAUCAAAUUAUACAUAACUAGACUCAUACAUUUUUGUAAACCCUUGUCGAAUCCAUUCUUACAGUAUGCGCCAAUUCUCUUUCAUAUGCUCUGCCUUUAGAAAUUGUUCUACCCCAUUUUUAUUUCCAUCACUAACUUUGGUUAGCUGACCUCUUCUUGUCUUUAAGUCCCAACUACAAUAUCACUUCUUCCUGGAAGACUUCUCAAGGUUUUCUGAUGGUAAAUUUAUUUCCUGAGUAAGUCGUGAGCUUCUUUAAGUAAAACACUAUAUACCCUGAGUAUACCUGCCACAAGUAUCAUUCUAGCCUAAACAUACACAAGACUUAUGUCAACAUUUCUGCAAAAGAAGGAAUAUAGAAAGUGGUCAGUGGGAAGACAUAUUAAUUUUGGACCAGGAAUUAAAAUAGCUGGAAAAACAACAAAAGGAAAAUGAAAAAUUUUAAAUUGAAAAGCUAUAGAAGCAUUAUUUGAAAGGGAGAGAGAAAAUAUGUUCUUGUGAAUAAAUAAUUUCACCUUUGUGUAUUGUUUUCUAUGGUUGAUUCAACUCAAAUAAUUCUUUGAUCAGAAUAAUUUUUCAUGAAGAUUCCAUUUUACUUAUGAUGUAAGAGGCUAGAACAAUCUAGAGAAAAAAAUUCUAUUUUAUUGAUAUGUUUCUAAAAUAUUCCAUUCAGAUAAUUAUUUUAUAGAGGGAAACCAGUAUAGUCUCAUGUCCUAUAGCCUUUAAAAAAGAUAAAAAGGAGGGGAAAAACCCCUUAUUAAUUUAUACUUGCAAAACAAUUGCAGUCAUUUUCCUGGCUGAAGACUAAAUUAUUGUACGUUAUAGUGUGCAUGUCUAUGAUAAGUAGAUUACUAUAGAUCAUUCCAAGAGGAGGUGGAGGGAAGACUGCACUAACAUUAGCUUCUCUGGUAUUUGCAGGCUGUAAAUUUCUUUAAAUGAUAGAUGUAAAGAUGGAAGACAGAUGGAUAGAGGAAAAGACAGAAUCAGAUACUGGAUGAGUUGGUAUUGCAGUCUGUGUUUCAGCGCUGUCUUAUUACUGCAAGGCUAGCAAGCAUCAAAGUCCCCCCACAGCUCCAACUCCCUCCCCCUGAAAUGUACCGAUUUAUAUGAAAAUUAAGAUUACAAAUUAAAGCCUGGCUAUCCUGGAGUUUUCCAGUUCAUCAGCCAUCCAAUAAAAAUGAUGUCAAGCCUGUAUGCAUAAUUCCCAGAAGAUUACUUUGUCCUUACAGCUAAGCCCUGUCCCUGAUAUGAAAGAUCUCUAUCCACUUUUAUUGAAAUAAAGAACUAACAUCAUAAUCCCAAUAUUGAGGUAUAAUCUUCAUUAUCUCCUGACCCUCUUGAGGUUCUCCCAAUCUAUAUUACUUCAGAUUUGUUUAUUUAUAAUCCUUAUGUAUUUACCUUUAUUGAGAUAGGAUUAAAACUAAA
RNAcentral lists this long non-coding RNA (16368 nucleotides) under Lynx pardinus (Iberian lynx). The record is from RNAcentral. Lineage: Eukaryota; Metazoa; Chordata; Mammalia; Carnivora; Felidae.